This 370-nucleotide long non-coding RNA is filed under the name Rattus norvegicus (Norway rat). RNAcentral's name for it is "long non-coding RNA NONRATT019045". The record is from RNAcentral. Lineage: Eukaryota; Metazoa; Chordata; Mammalia; Rodentia; Muridae.
ACCGGCCUUUGCUGCAUUCCUUUAUCACGCUGUUCAAGCUGAGAGACAACAGUGAGUUUCAGGUGACCAACUCCAUGACUCGGGGCAAGCAUUGCAGCACUUGGUCCUAUACCCUGAUCCCAACAAACAAGCCUGGGCAAUUCACCAGGGACAACAGAGGUAGAGACUGGAAGAUAACUCAUAAGACAAUAGACAGGUUCAUCUGCCUGACCAAGACCCAAAACCUCACAAAGAACAACCUUCUCUUCCCUGAUUUAACUGACUGGUUACUGGAUCCAAAAGUCUGCUGAAGAAGGAAACAGUUCCUGCCAGUAAAGCCUCAGCCUGCCAUUGCUCUCAACAUAAAUAAACACCCAGUGUGACUCUGGAA